RNAcentral lists this ribosomal RNA (1005 nucleotides) under uncultured bacterium. RNAcentral describes it as "bacterial SSU rRNA". It matches the Rfam family "Bacterial small subunit ribosomal RNA", at positions 356 to 1376 of the family's 1533-position model. The record is from RNAcentral.
GGGGAAUAUUGCGCAAUGGGGGCAACCCUGACGCAGCAACGCCGCGUGCAGGAAGAAGGUCUUCGGAUUGUAAACUGUUGUCGCAAGGGAAGAAGACAGUGACGGUACCUUGUGAGAAAGUCACGGCUAACUACGUGCCAGCAGCCGCGGUAAUACGUAGGUGACAAGCGUUGUCCGGAUUUACUGGGUGUAAAGGGCGCGUAGGCGGACUGUCAAGUCAGUCGUGAAAUACCGGGGCUUAACCCCGGGGCUGCGAUUGAAACUGACAGCCUUGAGUAUCGGAGAGGAAAGCGGAAUUCCUAGUGUAGCGGUGAAAUGCGUAGAUAUUAGGAGGAACACCAGUGGCGAAGGCGGCUUUCUGGGCGACAACUGACGCUGAGGCGCGAAAGUGUGGGGAGCAAACAGGAUUAGAUACCCUGGUAGUCCACACCGUAAACGAUGGAUACUAGGUGUAGGAGGUAUCGACCCCUUCUGUGCCGCAGUUAACACAAUAAGUAUCCCACCUGGGGAGUACGACCGCAAGGUUGAAACUCAAAGGAAUUGACGGGGGCCCGCACAAGCAGUGGAGUAUGUGGUUUAAUUCGAAGCAACGCGAAGAACCUUACCUGGGCUUGACAUCCCUGGAAUCGAGUAGAGAUACUUGAGUGCCUUCGGGAAUCAGGUGACAGGUGGUGCAUGGUUGUCGUCAGCUCGUGUCGUGAGAUGUUGGGUUAAGUCCCGCAACGAGCGCAACCCCUAUUGUCAGUUGCCAUCAUUAAGUUGGGCACUCUGGCGAGACUGCCGGUGACAAAUCGGAGGAAGGUGGGGACGACGUCAAAUCAUCAUGCCCCUUAUGCCCAGGGCUACACACGUACUACAAUGGCCGAUAACAAAGUGCAGCGAAACCGUGAGGUGGAGCGAAUCACAAAACUCGGUCUCAGUUCAGAUUGCAGGCUGCAACUCGCCUGCAUGAAGUUGGAAUUGCUAGUAAUCGCGGAUCAGAAUGCCGCGGUGAAUACGUUCCCG